This 256-nucleotide unclassified non-coding RNA is filed under the name plant metagenome. RNAcentral describes it as "partial contains small subunit ribosomal RNA and internal transcribed spacer 1". The stretch from base 1 to 54 matches the Rfam family "Eukaryotic small subunit ribosomal RNA", at positions 1778 to 1831 of the family's 1831-position model. The record is from RNAcentral.
GGAAGUAAAAGUCGUGACAAGGUUUCCGUAGGUGAACCUGCGGAAGGAUCAUUAAUGUGUUUGGGCCUCACGGCUCUUCAUUCCGACGCUGUGCGCCUUCGGGCUGCACGCUGAGGGAGCAUAUAUCCACCCCUGUGCACACACACGGUGGCGAGCUGGGUAACGGCUCGCCGCUGAUCUUUACACACGUCUAAAAGUCAUUGUAUGUUUAUUUGAGAUAAAAACACAACUUUCAGCAACGGAUCUCUAGGCUCUC